Non-coding RNA from Sus scrofa (pig), 726 nucleotides. The record is from RefSeq and is a predicted model, not a curated record. Lineage: Eukaryota; Metazoa; Chordata; Mammalia; Artiodactyla; Suidae.
GCAAGCCACUGGCUGGAAUGCCCUACUCGUCUUCACCGCGCUGUGAGUCCCUGAGAAGAGGCUGGCGGUCUCUGGGCGUUCUUCCUCGUAACCAGCCCCUUGGCCAUCCUUGCCAAGAUUCAUUUCUUUUGCGCCUUCGCUCCCACCCACCCUGAUCCGAGCUGGGAAUGGUCUCUUGGCAAAGUCAGACAAAUAUUUAGUAGUGGUAAUAACCAAGCAUCGCUAAAUGUAAUUAGCAGCAAGAGUGUUUUCCCCGAAGGAUAUUCUUGUAUCACUGAUAUUUCUUGUAUCAUCGAUUUCCCGUCGAUGUGGAACUUGUCUCAUCCCUCAGUUGACGUUAUCCUGCCAACUCUUCCUGGUGGAGAAGGGACCCACCUAGAAAUGUAGACACAGAGAACAGCACGUGUAUGGACGAGUCCGAGGCCAUUUUUUCAUGCUUGACUGCUGACUCCUUUUAAGCUGUCCUCGCUCCCUCUUUUCCUUGUGCCUCACACCUGGACAAGCUCAGAAGAAGGCCCGCGCUCCCUUCUUUUCCGUCCAUGGCAGAUUCCAACCAUGCAAACCCCUUUCCACACAAAUGCACCUGACCUAACUCCCUCACCGUAGUAAAAACCCAGACCAAUCUCCUUCCGUGCUCUCUCAAGGCAUCUUGGACCUUCUUGAGAAGCCAUUCCUGCUCCUUCAGAGACCUCGAAUCAUGUCAUUAAUAAACCUUUCCCUACCCUC